This is a long non-coding RNA of Schistocerca cancellata (South American locust), 421 nucleotides long. RefSeq lists it as uncharacterized. The record is from RefSeq and is a predicted model, not a curated record. Lineage: Eukaryota; Metazoa; Arthropoda; Insecta; Orthoptera; Acrididae. The transcript is spliced from 3 exons.
AAUCAGUUCACUGUGUGUGUGAAAGAUCUACAUUAGCUCAUUUCAGGCAAACUGUGAGAGUGAAUAUGAAACUGCAUCUUAUCCUGUUUCUAAUUGAUAUAGUUUUCCUUUCUUCUUCAUUGUGUGCAGAAAACAAUUGCCCCAGCUUUUGCACAUUAGAGUACAGGCCAAUAUGUGCAACUGAUGGGAUAAAUCCCCCUCGCCUAUUUAGUAAUCCCUGUCGCCUAAAGUCUUUCAGCUGUAUAAAUAAUGUUGAGUUGAAGGAAGUUGCAAGAAUACACUGCCAGGAUGAAUUGUAACAAAAAAUAUAUUACUGAAAUCUAUCUACCGGUUGUUAUUUCAGAAGCUUGAAAGUAUUUGUACAUAAUUUCCAAAAUUUGUUUUGUGCUUCAAUAUAAAAAAAUUACACUUCAUUAUAAAA